This 491-nucleotide ribosomal RNA is filed under the name uncultured bacterium. RNAcentral's name for it is "partial 16S ribosomal RNA". It matches the Rfam family "Bacterial small subunit ribosomal RNA", at positions 29 to 506 of the family's 1533-position model. The record is from RNAcentral.
AGUGAACGCUGGCGGUAGGCCUAACACAUGCAAGUCGAACGGCAGCACAGUAAGAGCUUGCUCUUACGGGUGGCGAGUGGCGGACGGGUGAGGAAUACAUCGGAAUCUACUUUUUCGUGGGGGAUAACGUAGGGAAACUUACGCUAAUACCGCAUACGACCUACGGGUGAAAGCAGGGGAUCUUCGGACCUUGCGCGAUUGAAUGAGCCGAUGUCGGAUUAGCUAGUUGGCGGGGUAAAGGCCCACCAAGGCGACGAUCCGUAGCUGGUCUGAGAGGAUGAUCCGCCACACUGGAACUGAGACACGGUCCAGACUCCUACGGGAGGCAGCAGUGGGGAAUAUUGGACACUGGGCGCAAGCCUGAUCCAGCCAUACCGCGUGGGUGAAGAAAGCCUUCGGGUUGUAAAGCCCUUUUGUUGGGAAAGAAAAGCAGCAGGUUAAUACCCCGCUGUUCUGACGGUACCCAAAGAAUAAGCACCGGCUAACUUCGU